Molecule: long non-coding RNA, 539 nt
Filed under: Zonotrichia albicollis (white-throated sparrow)
Lineage: Eukaryota; Metazoa; Chordata; Aves; Passeriformes; Passerellidae
Description: lncRNA (ENSZALG00000008117.1)
Source: RNAcentral
UUAUGUGACAGUUCAUCAAGUUUAUGAACCAGUUUAUCAAGUUUUGCUAACAGCUAGCGGUCACUGAAUGAAGUCCUACCAGCUUCAUUUUAGUGGCAACGGCUGCAACAGUUUAUCAGGUUUGGUGACAAGACUGCUGCAAUCCAGACAUGAGGAUUAAUCAUUUUUGCUGGGUUUUUUUCUUACCAAGAAAGAAUGGGAGAUGGAGAACAGAAAGACAAUGCUUGCGCCUGAAGUCUAAAUGCAGAGCACCAGGAAGAAUGCAUCUAGGAUUUGCUGGAAAAUACUUGAAUCUGGAGAAACUAUCACUGCUUCUGGCAGAUGCUUGUGAAUCUCAACAGUGACAUUUCUCUGUUGCUCUCCUGUAUGCUGAAGAAAUGGCUGAACUCCGAAGAGUACCCACAACAAGCUUUGGUUCUUUGCUUGUUUAUUCUUGUAAAUGAAAUGUGUGUGAGGCCACAUUUCUCUCUGUGAUACCAUCUGGCAUGGAAUGAUCAAUUUCUAUGUGAAUAAAUUAUCUUGGACUCCAAAUGGGGGCA